UUCAUAAUUUGAAAUUUCUGCUGUUCGCACGCUUGCAAAGUUGGUUGGUAUCUACGAAUAUCUCGUAAGAGCAAUAUCGAUUGCUAGUAUCGAUUCUCGUGCGUCGAGGUCGAGAGUCGAGCAAGAUUAAUGGCACUUUCGAGACGCAUAGCAGAAUAGUGUGGUCAGUAAUUAGUGGACAAGAAUUCAGGACUAAUUAUUCGUAAAGUAAGUACUGAUUGCGAUACGAAUUAAUUUAAAUAAUUACAAGUGUAUAUUUCUCAUGAUAUCUAUAUGUAUGAUACUUGUUUUACAUUAAAUAAUCAUCUUUUAAAACCAUUCGGUCGACAAUGUAUAUACAUAUAUUGUCGACCGCGUAGGUUAUAUAUAAUGAUCAAUUUUAUCAAUAUCGAUAAUUAAAAAUAGCGGAAUGGCUAACAAACAUGAAAGUAUUCAUGAUAUUCAUAGACAUGACUGCUUGUUUCGACCAGUCUGUUUAUUUUAACCGAUAGUUCAUCGAACCGGAUUUGUUGAAAAUUGGCCAUAUGUGCGAAUUAACUAUCUAGAUAUUGUAAGAGACCGUACCUAACUUCGCGCGCUUUACCCACAUUAUUUUCCCGCCGUAAUCCAGUGCUGGUCACCUACCAUCUUCCGAACACAAUCUUGAAUGUUGCUGCCCUCUGGUGUACUUUUUCAUUUCUCAUCGUUCACGACCAACGUUCGCGCGCUCUUCGUCGCCGGUCCGCCAAAAAUACAAGCAUCAAAAACGUAACAAUGUAGCAAUAAAAGGACUCAAAAGUUUGAAAGCCGCAAAAGAAAUGGUCCGAAUGUCGGAGGAGAAAUUUCUAGAUCAAUUUUGCUGAAAAUAUUAACAAUUCUGUAUAAGGAUGAGAUCUAAAAGAGACAUAUAAAGCGCAGAUGGAAUAAUUUUUGGAUCUUUGUUGAAGAUAUUGAUAAUCUUAUAGAGGAGGAGAAAGUCUUGGGAGAGGCAUGAAACAUAGAUGAAGCUGUUUUGAGAUAAUUUGAAUACAAUUGACAACCUGAGAGGAGGAGGAGGCCUGGGAGAGGCAUCGGGCAUUGAUGGAGCAACCUUGAGAUCAGCGUGGUUUCGUAACUCCACUGUUGCGCAUCGACCGAUGAGUAAUAAAUUAUUUUAUUACGAGGUAACGGUGUAGAGAUUAGAUUGUAGAUGGUAGCUAGAUUGUAGAUUGUAGAUUGGUAGAUAGUUUCCGUUACCUCAAAAUGAAUGGAUUACAAAUAAAUAGAUAGAUUAAGAAUAUUUCUGUUUAAAAGAAAUACGAAAAACAUUUUAUUAUACA
Molecule: non-coding RNA, 1298 nt
Organism: Nylanderia fulva
Lineage: Eukaryota; Metazoa; Arthropoda; Insecta; Hymenoptera; Formicidae
Source: RefSeq, a predicted model, not a curated record